Molecule: long non-coding RNA, 212 nt
Filed under: Lathyrus oleraceus (garden pea)
Lineage: Eukaryota; Viridiplantae; Streptophyta; Magnoliopsida; Fabales; Fabaceae
Description: Pisum sativum (pea) long non-coding RNA (PSAT_LNC030927)
Source: RNAcentral
UCAAAUGCGGUGAUCCGGGAUCAUCCGUGCAAAAGAAUAUUUGUCCGGGGUUCAAGAAAAGCAAGAAAAAAAAGAAGAAGAGCAAAAAAAAAAGCAAUCAAAAAGUUUCGAGGUUCAAGAAAAACAAGAAAAGAGAAGGAGGGGAAAUCAUAUGUUGCGGGGUUCGAGAAAAGCAAAAAAAAAAAUAAUAAUCCCCAGCGGAGCGCAAAUUG